UCACACAAAAAAAAAACGGAGUCACCUGGGUUAGAUAGUCAAAGAUAUCGAGCGCGAGUGCGCGUUUGUUUCAGUUCCGGUGAAGAACUCUAUACCGCAGAGGACUUCUUGUACGUACAUCCCCCGUCCCACUCCGGUGAAUGAGUUAUCGCAGAAUCGCAUCACCAUGAGAGUCAUGUGUGUCAGAUUAGAAUCGCAUAAAUUACCCCGUCACCUGAGAAGGUAGCUUAGAGUGGUGGGCUGUUUGAAGUUGGUCACCGGUUUAAGCCGUCCAAUUGGCAAACUCGCUCCCCGGUAUUAUAUCAGUGUGUGAUUCACGUUUGGAAAUGCAAAUGUGAUCAGAGUCGGAGGCGAGCUGAGAAAGAUAGUCAUCGAACCGGGAUAUGAAUUCGGCGAAUGGAGAAGAGGGGGGGAUUGGGAAUUCCUAGAAUUGUGCACAUAACAAGCGUUGCUGAUGAGGUGCUACAUUCCUAACUCAAUCUUUCCAAAAUCUUGGAUAGUGCGGCAGGGCAAACAAAAAAGCGAAGCAGAAAAGGUGAGGUUACUAUUGUUAAGGUCAGAAGAUUGCGUUACAGUGAAGCUUAGAGAAGUAAACAAGCUAAGGUUUAUUGCAAAAGUAGAGACCGUACAGGACAAUGUCUCACCGUGUAUUGUCCACGUGUUAAAAAAAGUCCUUCUCACCCGAACCUGCAUACAACUGGAAUGACGGUGCAAAACAAACGACACAAAAUCUGUCGCUAUCCAUCCAUCAUCCGGAAGGCUCAUUCCGGCUUGCGCUUCCAGGUAGCGGGUAGUAUUAGGAAUCUACGUCCAAAGCCCGGGGACAUCUACCGCUACUACCAGGUCGGCAGCAUUGUCACUGCAAGUGUUCGGUAUCGUUUAUUUCGGGGUUACACCUCGGAAGGCUACCGUGCCCGCUGCUCUGUCGGAGUGUGUCGGGUCGAAGCAAUUAUGCGCAUUCGUAAUGCGUCCUCCCCUUGCGUCCACGGCAGAACUCUCCUCGGAAUGUCUUCAAAAAGGGAUAUAGAAUUUGGCGCAUCGUAUCCGGUGGUCACCCCGGUGGAGCACACUGGACACGACCCGCUCCAGCCAUGCAUGGGGAGCGGCAGGUUCGUAGUGGGAUUGUGUUUCCGAAUAAUUUUAAUUAAAAAUUCAAAUUUAUCACACCUCUCGUGUUGGAUGCCCACAGCGUGGCCUAGAAGGGUUUCCGCUUCUUGGAAGGAACACAGCAACACACAAAAGACGACGGCGGAAGAGCACUACGAACGUGUGGGACACAUUUCGGCACCGACCGGCGGCGGACAGUUCUUGAGUAGAAUUCCAAUUCCAGCAUCGAGACGUGGAACCACUUGCCCCCAAUAACCGGUUGAUUCCCCCUUCUUCAGAGCGGACACGGUGCCCACCUGGGGGUAUAUAUCGCUUGCGACGACCCAGCAGUGCUUUACGGUGCAUAAAUCUUCCGGUGGAGAACUUGUUGAUGGCGACUUUGGCGAUUCCUGGGAAAGAAGCGGCAGGGUUUCACUCUCUCUCUCUCUUCCCAAAGACUACGCGAGUCGGGUUUAAAGUGACAAGAUGAAACGCUGCCACUUCGGAGAGUGUAAAAUACUCCCAUCUCCUCCUGAGGGAUCUAAUGCAAUGAGCACAAAAGUAAAAAAAAAAAUUGCGGCGAAUGCCACAAUAAUGCAAACAAAUUCCUUACCAAAGAACGCGCUCUAACAGCAACACCAGUCAAUUUGUGGUACACAUUUUCCGUACACGACCAGAAUGGGCCGUACCAGGAACAAACCUAAACUCCGACCGUUUGCCUUCUCUCUAUCUUUCCUGUUUGGUCAGAAAGCGGAGGGAAAGGGCAAAGCGGAUAAAGCGGAUCACUCGCACACAUCUACAUACUUUGUGUUCCACCACAUUGCCACGAGGCGGCGGCGGCGAUGGCGGCAACCUUCAAAGGCGAGUUCACGCUUAUCUUAAUUUUUUGAUGAACUUAUUCCUCGCCCUUUUCCCUGCACGCACAUCACACAGAACAAGAAACACAGACACACACACACAUACACCGAGGAGCCGUCCUGGGUGCGGAGGGCACUCCAGUGGACUUUGAAAUCUCCUCACGCCUUCCCAUUGGGUUUGGAGGAUUUUUAGAAUUCAGUGUGAGGUGGGGUGGAAGAAUCAGGGGUUUUUUUUGGAGUUCUUUUGCCCGCCAACGGACCAGCCCAGCAUGAGCGUGAUGCAAUCAGCGACGUGUGAGGAUGACAUCAGAAAGGAUACACACCGAAAUGAGACCUGUCAGAGAAGCUGGUGUAAAUGAAUACAACCGUAGCAAAAAGGGUGAGCCACCGAUGCAAAAACGGAAUGAGAUUUUCUUGUACAGCGACGAUCGUCCUCCACUUGAAGUACACCACGAAGGUGUCUUUCUUUGAAGCGAACCUGUACAAAGCUAAACCAUACCCAAGUCGAACAGCCGAAGAGCACCAACAGCAGCAUCAGCAACCGCUUGUGCCCGAGGCACUGACACCGGAACUGAUUAAAUGCGCACAAACUGGCCCGGGCAAGGUCGGUAGCCGACCGGCACAUCCAUUCUUCCGCUUCCAUAUCUACACCAUCACGCCGCAGAUAAACGAAUUCUUGCCGCGGAGCUGGCCACGGUGCAUAACAAAUUGGUAAUGGGAUUGCUUUCAUGAGGUUUUUUUUUAUUACCAUUUUUGCCUUUUACGCCGCUCCGCAAGAGAAGAGCCCCAGCAGCGCAGAAGCGCGAUUUUACAAUGAUUCAGUUUUUUUUUCAAAUGUUGUUCGCCCGCUCACCACCGAGCUCCAGACAAUUUAACAUCCAUUUCCCGUGGCCCCGGCACGAUCGGUUCCGGUGUCAGGGCUGGGUUAUUUCGUAAAUGGAUUCCACCAGAACAUAUGGAGAAGCGAGCAAAAAAGGCCAUUAUUUCAGAAUCGAUAAUGCAUGGCUAAAGUGAACCGCUUAGAGAAGAGCCCCCUUUUUUGUGGAGCAGUUUUAUUAUGAGGUACAGGCUUUUCAUUCGCUUCUAUUAAUCACCCCGUAAAGAUGUACAAUCCGAUGAUCGGAGAUAGCGAGACGGAUGAUGACACAGCGCGCCCAUGCCCGAGGGGAUACAGCAAGCGAACUGCCCAAAAAACCUUCCAGACCCGGGGCGUUCGGGUAAGAGACAAUAAAUUAAUACCGACUAAACCAUGGUGGAUCAUCCACAACACCCACCCGGGUUCUCUGUGAGGCUACUGAACACACAUCCUGAUCUAAUCAGCAAACUACCACCCCGAAUGCCUGAUGCCACUCGUCUUCGCCACGGAUUCGUCCGGGGUCGUCGUCAUCGCGCGCCAAACAAAUUGACAAGAUUGAAUGAUAGAGAAUUAUUCAACGUCCAUGUCCUGUUGUUCCGUCUAAACGAACACACCGUUGAUCGCAGCGAUCUGUUUGACGGUGUAAAAACGACUCACUCGUUGCCUCAUCUGCCUCGUGUGGGGGUUUAUUGAAUGCCACCGGUUACCGGUCGAAAUGAAGAUAGUCACAGCGCAGCUUCACGAAACUACGAUCGCGAUCGCGCCCCACGAUAACGGCCAUAAAAUAUCCCACUUUAGGGCAAGGCGCAAGCGUGAUAACGUAGUUUGCCGUUACUGCUAUUGUUAAACGAAACGGGAAAUUGACACCUUCGGAGUUUCGGAUUACGCAGAAGCAUUAAAAAUGAUCGCGAAACAUCGUCCUGCCCCAGGUAUGGAAGCGAACGAUAACAAGCCGUAAUACGAUUGACCGAUUGACGGGAAAAGUUACAACACAUAAUGAAACGAUUUCAAAGCCAAUUUACACAGACUGUUGAACUCUCUCAGAGGGGUGUUUUGAGGUAGAAGACGAAAGUAAAUCGCAAAGAAGCCUUUCCAGUGUAGCCCCCAAACAGAUCACUUCAGCGCAACUGAUCAAGCGUCCGCCGGAAGGGAAAUUACUUACCUUAAUAAUACCCAAAAACAGAGGUUACAAAGGCAAAUUUAAAAAAAAGCCACGACGACAACGCAUACAUUUCAAUCUGAAUUAAGCUUUAUUGAAGCUGAUGCCUUGAGGUAUCAUUCCGCACCUACAUAAAGGUGAUCGCAUAUCCAAAAUAAGCAAAACAUGUUCUGCUUGAACGGUGUUGUUACUUUUUUCUGGCGAUAUUAUCACAUUGACACGAGUUGAAAAUCCCCAAUGCAUUAAUACGCGAUUUCAUUGGAACAACCCAAUCUUAUUUAUAAUCCCCGGCAUCAGAUUUAAACUGUUCGCGCAUUGAUCAGUGCAAGUAAACUUACUCUUUAUCCAAAAAAGAUAUUUUCAAAAAGCACUACGCAUAAACGAAACGAAAGCAACUAUUUACUGCAUUUUUGUCAUUUACUACAUCGAUCGCCCAAGUUCGAGAAAGGGAAAGGGAUUAAUUAUUCCGGACUCGUGGAUAAUUACCAUCAGCAACACUGACCCGAAGGUGUUGACUGAUAAAAUAUCAGAUUACUUCAAUCUUGUUUGGGCCAUUUCUUUUUUUUGUCGAUUACACAUCUUAAUCGUGAGUCUACACAUGCAACGAGCUUCAACCGGGUUAAAACAGAAAGAUUGUUAAUUAUCGAUUGAAAGCUAGUGCGCUUUUGCAGUAACUGAGCAUAGUAUUUUGUUUUUUUUUUUUUACAUUUCUGUUUAAAUUAAAUCGAGCCUGUACGAAUCCGUCGCUCCAGCGAAACGUGUUUAAUCGCAGCAAAAGCGCAUGUACAGGAUUGACAAUUCGCGCAAAAAGUGAAAUAAUUUUUAAAUUACUACUCUUGCUCAAGCUAGAAGGUAAAAAAAAACUAUAUGAAUGCAAGCAGCAAGAAAAAGGAACGCAGGAAAUUUGUAGCCUCGCCAUCACGCAUGUCAAUCAAACUUCAGCUACAACAUUGGAGAAGGAUCACACGCUGCGGGGAGGAGAUUUUUAAAUCCAGUUCACCCCAUCUCACACUCAUCAUCAGUUGGACACAUCAAUUUACUGGUUUGUGGUCAUCCGGACCACUAGCUUGGGCUGGGAAAUGAUUGCGGUACGAUUCGUUCCGAGCAGCACAAAAUUGGAUAACAUUUUCGAGGAUCAACAAUUGUGGUCGUAUGUUGCGCAGUCACGUUCAGCUUCAGUGGAUAAUAUUGUGAUUUACACGUAAUUAUAUUUUUU
Molecule: long non-coding RNA, 5174 nt
Organism: Anopheles merus
Lineage: Eukaryota; Metazoa; Arthropoda; Insecta; Diptera; Culicidae
Exons: 3
Source: RefSeq, a predicted model, not a curated record